This 370-nucleotide long non-coding RNA is filed under the name Mytilus galloprovincialis (Mediterranean mussel). Lineage: Eukaryota; Metazoa; Mollusca; Bivalvia; Mytilida; Mytilidae. The record is from RNAcentral.
UGAUAUUUGAAUGUCAUUUAUUUCAUACACAAACACAAACAUGCACCCUAAAUGGUGUUUGCUUGAUGGCUGCAAGUUUCUCUCAAGCAAUCUGAUGACGUUAUUUACAAUGGUAUCAGAGGAAAACAUUGUUUCAUUCCUAAAAUUAAUCUUUUAUUUUAUUAAUGCCAAAAAUAGAACAGGAUCAAAAUAACUGACAUCAUUUUUGAAUUUUUCAAGGUGAUAUCCUUUAUUAAAAUUCUAUGAAAGGCAUUGAUAAUCACUGUUAGCAAUAGUUGUCAAGAAUUUUAAUGAAUGAUGCAUAAAUUUAACUCUUUAAGUCAUAGCAUUUAAUAAAAGUACUUUUGAGUACAGAAAGAUCAAAUUUGCA